CAGCGGAGCCAGUUUGAUUUGAGAUAUGAGACCAGCGUCUUCCAGAAAGCCGUACAGCAGAAAGUUUGAACAGCUGAGGAAGGACCCCUCUGUCACAACUGGCAUGGGAUUGAUGCGGCCAAGAACAUUGAAGAUGUGCGCACAGACAUUAACAACCACAGUGUAAACGCCAUUAAUGCAUCAGAGAAUGAGCCUAUCGGGAGGAGCUGUGGAAGUGACCUACCUGGGUCAUGUUCAUUAUGGCACACUGUAGCAAAAUGUUAUAGUAGUGUUAGUGUUUCUUAUUGGACAAGUCCAGGUAAUCCCUCCCUGUUUGUCUAUUUGGUACCGAAUGAACGUGACCCUGGUGUCUAAGGAGCAGGAAGC
This is a non-coding RNA of Salvelinus sp. IW2-2015, 366 nucleotides long. The record is from RefSeq and is a predicted model, not a curated record. NCBI's taxonomy places the organism in Eukaryota, Metazoa, Chordata, Actinopteri, Salmoniformes, Salmonidae.